GAUGAACGCUAGCGGCAGGCUUAACACAUGCAAGUCGAGGGGCAGCGCGGGUAGCAAUACCUGGCGGCGACCGGCGAAAGGGUGAGUAACGCGUGAGCAACGUGCCCGUAUGUGGGGGAUAGUCGAUGGAAACGUCGCGUAAUACCCCGUAACACAAAUUCCCGCAUGAGGAUUUGUUGAAAGAUUUAUUGCAUACGGAUCGGCUCGCGUGCCAUUAGGUAGACGGCGGGGUAACGGCCCACCGUGCCAUCGAUCCUUAGGGGUUCUGAGAGGAAGGUCCCCCACACUGGUACUGAGACACGGACCAGACUCC
This 313-nucleotide ribosomal RNA is filed under the name uncultured Bacteroidales bacterium. Its description in RNAcentral is "bacterial SSU rRNA". It matches the Rfam family "Bacterial small subunit ribosomal RNA", at positions 28 to 339 of the family's 1533-position model. The record is from RNAcentral. Lineage: Bacteria; Pseudomonadati; Bacteroidota; Bacteroidia; Bacteroidales.